Molecule: ribosomal RNA, 435 nt
Filed under: Elysia atroviridis
Lineage: Eukaryota; Metazoa; Mollusca; Gastropoda; Plakobranchidae
Description: partial 16S rRNA
Rfam family: Bacterial large subunit ribosomal RNA
Source: RNAcentral
AGCCUUAAGAUUAUAUUUAAGGUAAUGCCUGCCCAGUGCUAAAGUGUUAACGGCCGCAGUACCUUGACUGUGCUAAGGUAGCAUAAUCAGUUGGCUUUUAAAUGGAGUCGGGAAUGAAUGGAUUUAUAGGGUAAAGCUGUCUCUUUUAUAUUUUAUUGAAUUUAAUUAUUAGGUGAAAAUACCUAAAAUUAAGAAAAAAGACGAGAAGACCCUAGGAGUUUUUACUAAUGGCCAAUUUAAGUUGGCUUCUGGUUUUUGUUGGGGCGACAUAGGAACAAACAACUUCCUUAUUUUAUAGGCCGACUACGUAUGAAUAAUAAAACUACCCUAGGGAUAACAGCGUAAUUCUUUAUGGAGCUUGCGACCUCGAUGUUGGACUAGGAAUUUGAUUGGCUAGCCGCCACUUUAUAUUGUUCUGUUCGAACUUAAUUUCCU